This 106-nucleotide small nuclear RNA is filed under the name Aotus nancymaae (Ma's night monkey). Lineage: Eukaryota; Metazoa; Chordata; Mammalia; Primates; Aotidae. The record is from RNAcentral.
GUACUGGCUCUGGCAGUGUGUACACUAAAGUUGGAACUAUAAAGAGAAGAUUAGCAUGAUCCUAUGCAAGAAUGACAUGCAAAUUCUUAAAGAAUUUAAUAUUUUU